Molecule: ribosomal RNA, 1149 nt
Filed under: Triticum aestivum (bread wheat)
Lineage: Eukaryota; Viridiplantae; Streptophyta; Magnoliopsida; Poales; Poaceae
Description: partial small subunit ribosomal RNA
Source: RNAcentral
AUGGCGGAGGAGGCUGCGGCAGCAGCAGCGGCGCCUCUCCUCGAGGGCCUCCCAGAUGAGAUCGUCCUGUGGGAGAUUCUCGUCCGCCUCGACCCCAAAUCCCUCCUCCGCUCCCGCGCCGUCCGCCGCGCCUGGCGCUGCGCCACCUCCACCCGCCGCUUCCUCCUCGCCCACCAUGCCCGCCAGCCAACCCUCCCUUUCGUCUGCAGAGACAGAUCCCAUAGCAUCCUCGCCUUCGACCAGCGGGCCGCCGCCGAUGCCCAGCUCCACACCGUCGCCCGGCUUGCCGAGCCCUUCCUUCUUGAGGCCUCCUGCGACGGCCUCCUCGUCCUCUCCAGGUGCACCCGCCGCUUCUCCGUCUACAACCCGGCCACGCGUGAGCAUGCCUCCCUUAGGUGUCCAGCCUGGGACUUCAACAUCGUGGGGAUGUAUCCACAUCCACCUACCGGCGAGUACAGGCUGCUACUGCGAUGUUGCGACAUGGACAUGCCUAAGGACGAAUUUGGCUGCUAUGUCCUUCCGUUGGGCUCCGACCAGCCACCGAGGUACAUCGGGUGUCCGGAGAGAGAAGUGGUCUCAGCGCUCUUCAAUGUACCUGUCUGGGCGCAUCAUAGUCUGCAUUGGUACCCACUGCCUUAUCUGAAAUAUGAGACUGAAAGCGCCCAGCUCGAGGAUCAGGCUGAACAGCAACUGGUAAUAGUUUUCGACACCAUAGCUGAGUCGUUUCGGCAGAUGCGUGCUCCACUUGCUUCCACCUACUCAUCUAUCUUUGAGGUGGAUGGCAUGCUUGGCAUCUAUAGCUCUAACAGGGCUAAGGAAAUUGUUGAUAUAUGGGUGCUGCAGAACUAUGAAAGUGAGAUUUGGGUCUUAAAGUACCGGGUUGAAUUGCCGCUCACACAAAUCAGGAGGAAGCUUGAAGCCCGUGAUGGUGAUGGCAAUUGGUAUGUGAUCGUUGCUUCGGGUGAUGGUGAUGUGCUCUUGCUAGUCAGGUUUGGUCAUUGGCUGUUUUACGUUGACACUGAUGGCAAACUGGUUGCUAGCUUCCAAGACAUCAAUUUCUAUAAAUAUGGGCUCAAACAGACUCUUGUUCCUCAUGAUUUCUUCACGACACGAGAAGGUUUUGCUGCGGACGCUUCACCAUUCAUCUGA